RNAcentral lists this ribosomal RNA (497 nucleotides) under uncultured bacterium. Its description in RNAcentral is "partial 16S ribosomal RNA". It matches the Rfam family "Bacterial small subunit ribosomal RNA", at positions 28 to 507 of the family's 1533-position model. The record is from RNAcentral.
GAUGAACGCUGGCGGCGUGCCUAAUACAUGCCAGUCGAGCGAACAGAUAAGGAGCUUGCUCCUUUGACGUUAGCGGCGGACGGGUGAGUCACACGUGGGUAACCUACCUAUAAGACUGGGAUAACUUCGGGAAACCGGAGCAAAUCCCGGAUAACAUUUGGAACCGCAUGGUUCUAAAGUGAAAGAUGGUUUUGCUAUCACUUAUAGAUGGACCCGCGCCGUAUUAGCUAGUUGGUAAGGUAACGGCUUACCAAGGCGGCGAUACGUAGCCGACGUGAGAGGGUGAUCGGCCACACUGGAACUGAGACACGGUCCAGACGCCUACGGGAGGCAGCAGUAGGGAAUGUUCCGCAGUGGGCGAAAGCCUGACGGAGCAACGCCGCGCGAGUGGUGAAGGGGUUCGGCUCGUAAAGCUCUGUUAUUAGGGAAGAACAACUGUGGAAGUAACUGUGCACGUCUUGACGGUACCUAAACAGAAAGCAACGGCUAACUACGUG